CAAGAGAUAUGAUCUUGGCUCACUGCAACCUCUGCCUCCUAGGUUCAAACAAUUCUCCUGCCUCAGCACUCCCAAGUAGCUGGGAUUACAGGUAUGCACCACCUCACCUGGCUGAAUUUUGCAUUUUUGGUAGAGGUGGGGUUUCACCAUGUUGGCCAGGCUGGUCUCGAACUCCUUUCCUCAAGUGAUCCACCCGCCUCAGCCUCCCAAAGUGCUGGGAUUACAGGCAUUACCCACCAUGCCCGGCACGUUACUUUCAUUUUAUUGAUUUACAUUGCUUAUCUGUGUAAACCCUGAUAACAGAGAUAUACCCAGACUGCCCCUCAGCAGCCAGCCAAAUCUGCAGAUCCCCGGCUUUAGCUGGAAGCCAAGGCUACUGCCAAGAUUCCAUAAAUCAGUUCAUUUGGCUCAGCCUGACUAGCAGGACCACGAAGAUGAACAAUGCCUCCAAAAACAAAAUCAAACUGUCCUGGAGGCUACACAGAAAGAGAUGGAGAAUUGUCUCGGUCAAUUCUGGGGCAGCAUUUUUGCAGAGUAGAAUUUUUUUUUUCUUUCAGGAUAGCCAAUGUCCCGUUUACUGUGAAAUUUGGUAUGCUGAUUACAGCUUGUAAUGAUCAUUCGGCUCAGUAGAUCAUAUCUGACUUUUCCAAAAGCAAUUUUAUGUGGGUACUAAUGUGUUUGUCCCAUGCUUAUUCUGGUCAGUGGGGCAUGCAGUUAUAAGGAUCAGAUGGAAGUAAUUUCUUGGAUUUCCCUUUGAUGUUUCCAAAGGGAGGAAGAUUCUCUGUAUCCCUCUGGGUGCUCCCUGACAGUGUGGAGAGCCCUGUGACGGCUCGAGGCGGGAGAUCCUAUUUUCCACCCCCAGUCACUUGACCAGUCCACCAAGAAGCUCUGCAUUCUCAGGUUUUUGAGACCUGUCCCAGCCACAAGUCACGAGGCUUACCUCUCAGGAAAGUCACCUCAAGAAGAACAUCCAGAAGGCUGUUCUUGGAUAUCUGGGGCUGAGAUAGGGAUGCAGUGCCCAUCACUGCUUCCCUAGUUCACUCCUAUGGGAAGCUGAUGCCCCUUCCACCUUUCACUCAUCACCUUUUCUCACUGUGCUUAUUGAUCCUGAACAAAAGCGGCAGCUCAGAAGCUCUCAUCCAGCAGAAGUGACUGAGAGCAGGACAGCAGGCCCGUCCACCCUGGCCUUCUCCCACCAGGCAGUCUGCUUGGUUCCUGCUGAGCAGACUUAUCCCUAAUGGCCGGAAGCGCUCCUCUCUUUGCCCACCAACCCCAGCUCCAAAGCAGAUGCAAGUGUCUCCAUUUCCCUGGUCUUACUUUACUCCUCUGCCUCCUGGGAUCAGAAUAAUAAUUUCUAGUUCUCUGGAUUGGCUCUGCUUUGCAAUAUAUGACUCACUCUCUUUUCCUUCAAGCUUUCCCUUAACGUGGUCCACACUCGAGGAUGCUGGCUGGGUCUUUAUCACAGGAGAAUUUUCAGGUAUUCAGCAACUGAAGAAAAAAAAAAGACCUAUUGAACACUCCUUUCCCUGCUCUCAAUCAGGUCACACAGAGUUCUUGAGAGAAGAAAAACAGCAAAUGUGAAACUGAUGCCAGUCAUCUUCUUAGAACAAAGGCCAAGAAGUAGGAGUGAUUUUUUUGUGUGUUGGUGCAUGCAUGUAUUUUAGUGGAAUGAAAGAAACAGCCAUGCCCUCAAACACCUCACUCUUGUGUUUACGCAGCUGGCCCCCACUGGAAGACGCGUCUGAGAUUGCAUUCCGUGAUAUUUCACCAAUACCUUCAAUAACCACGUCUUCUUUUCACCUCCAGAUCACAUUGGAAACCCAUUUACUUUAUUCAUAAAAGUGUAACAUAUUCAGCCCUGAGUCUCCAGUUAUUAUCAGCAUUUGCACAUGACCGAGCAUAGUCACUGAAGCCUCUGCUCUUGCCGUCACACAUUUCUGAGCAUUUUGAACUGUGAUUGUUACUCUUUAACCUGGGGGCUCUUCGACUUUCCUAAAGAGGGGAAAUCCAGAUGAGAGCACCAGAUCUUACGCUGUCAUAUUAGCUAGAUGGAGGAAGCAAGAAUAAGUGCAAUAACAAGAGCCAGGUUUUUUGCAUGUCUGACAAUGAUGACUUCACCUGGACCCACCAACUGCCCCUGUGGCCCCACGCAGAAGUGAUCCGGCACAUAUGAGGACCAUUUCCUGCACCCUUAUGACUGCACCCCAACCAAUCAGCAGCAAGUGCCCAUUGCCUAGCCACCCCUCCUCUUCCCCCAAACUAUCUUUGAAAAAACCCUAACCUCUGAAUUUUCAGGGAGGCUGAUUUGAGUGCAAAUAAAAUUCUGAUCUCCUGUUUAGCCGGC
Molecule: long non-coding RNA, 2344 nt
Filed under: Homo sapiens (human)
Lineage: Eukaryota; Metazoa; Chordata; Mammalia; Primates; Hominidae
Description: HSALNT0161132
Source: RNAcentral